RNAcentral lists this long non-coding RNA (2385 nucleotides) under Sus scrofa (pig). RNAcentral's name for it is "lncRNA (ENSSSCG00000058716.1)". The record is from RNAcentral. Lineage: Eukaryota; Metazoa; Chordata; Mammalia; Artiodactyla; Suidae.
CAAUGCCAGAUCCUUAACCUACUGUGUCACCAGGGAACUCCAUGAUAGACUCUUGUGCUGUCAGCCCAGGCUCCUAGGAGGGCCACCGUGAACUGCUUAGUGAUGCUGGUCAUACCUCCCACCAGCACAUUCCCAGUGUGCUGAUGGGUCUUCUGGCCUCACUAACAUGUCCACCUUGUAAGCCCACUUCCCUGAGCCUUUUCAUUCUUCCUCUUUGUGCUCAUUUCACCAUUCAGCAUAGACCAUUGCUUUCUCCAGACCUCUGCAAGCCACCCCAGCAGCAAGUUCAUAUUGUUUCCUGGGGUGUUUCCUGUAUCCCAAGAAAAUGACAGAGUAAGAAAAAAAACCCAAAAAAACCUGACACUCUGCUUCAUCCAGACCUAUGUUCCAGGCCCCACUGAUCAACCGCUCGAUCCCAUCUCGCAGUUCCUUUGGUGUUGCAGCCACUUUCUUCUCUUAUCGGGCCCCGUGGAUCCCUGACUGGGUUAUGCUGUGACUCAACCCUGAUGAUGGGCCUACUGUCCAGGAGAGGAAGAAGGAGCCACAUGUUGCCUUUUAAGGGAAAGCCCUCUCUGGAAAGUCCUCCUGCAGAGGAAUGUUCCAGAACCUACUUGAGAGAGGUGAGCCACCCAGCAGGCUCAGAAGGUUCAGAGGAGUAUGGGGAGCAUCCACCCAAAUCUUCCAAUCCCAGGCAUCACAGUCCCAGGUUUUGCCAACUAGGCCCUGCCUUUGGCAUAACAGCCCUGCUGUGGUUGGAUAUUCAAAGGUCUCUGAUAUUCAGUAGCACAGUUAAAUUCCGUGCUUCCUCUCUAGCCUUUCUGCUCUCACCCACAGUAGGAGACCAUUUAUCCAGACUCUUUUCAGUUUUGAUUAUUAACUCUUCUCAGUUUUCAUUUUCUUUCCAUAGGGUUCAAGGAACUUAAAGAUAAUCUUCCAUUUCUGCUGUCUGCAAAUCCCAACGUUUGCUUCAAAACCUUGCAUCAGUGCAUGCCCCCCACCUCCCUGCCAUCCCGGCUCACCUGGUGAAGCAUCUAACAACUGGACCACCAUCUAAGGCCAAGUGCUCUCUGCACACCACUUAUCCCCAGGGGUGGGGGGCUUCGUAACCAGCUGGGUGGUGAGUGAUCCAGUCCCCAGACCUCUGUCUUGUCACUUGUUCUCUCAGGUCAUACUUGGUGCCAACUGUGGAAGCUGAGUUCUCUGAGAAGCUGAUGCUGAAACUGAGUUAGUAAUACAGUAGAUUUUCUAGAGAGUAAGACCUGUGAAAGGAAAAGAGGACAAAUUAUGAUUUGAGUGUCCUAUUGCCUCACUUGGUCAUCGCCUGGGAAGCAAGGUUGCCAGAUCAAAUAGAUGAUGCUUGGUUAAAUUUGCUUUGCAGAUAAAUUUUUUUUAAAAAAAACAUUAGCAUGUCCUGGAGUUCCCUCUGUGGUGCAAUGUGAUUGGUGGCAUCUCUGCAGUGCCAGGACACAGGUUCGAUCCCUGGCCCAGCACAGUGAGUUAAAGGAUCCUGGGUUACAGCAUAGGCUACAGCAGCAGAGCAACUGUGGCUCAGCCCCAGGAACUCCAUAUGCCAUGGGGAAGCCAAAAAACAAAAAAUAAAUAAAAAUAAGCAUGUCCAAUGCAAUAUUUGGGACACACUUCUACUAAAAAAUAUUGUUUGGAGUUCCUGUCAUGGCUCGGUGGUUAACGAACACUAGUAUCUGUGAAGAUGCAGGUUCGAUACAUGGCCUUGCUCAGUGGGUUAAGGAUCUGGCAUUGUCGUGAGCUGCGGUGUAGGUCGCAGACUUGGAUCAGAUCCCACGUUGCUGUGGCUGUGGUGCAGGCCAGCAGCUGUAGCUCCAUUUCAAUCCCUAGCCCGGGAAACUUCAUAUGCCUCAGGUGUAGCCCCCCAAAAAAAUAUAUAUAUAUUGUUUAUCUGAAAGGCAAGUUUAAUUGGGUGUCCUAUGUUUUUAUUUGUUAAUCUGGCCACUCUAGCUGGGGAGGUGUGGUCACCCCAAGAAGUACGUUCUCUCAGCUAUAGCUGAAAGCUGCUGUGAGACUAGUGUGACCUUGACUUGCAAGCUGAGGUAGACAGGAAGAUGCUAAGAGCUGGAGGCUAUGGGCUAACCACACUCUUAGCCUAGGCCUAUGCCAAGGGGGAGGUGCAUGCAGCCAUGUAUAUAUAUACAUAUAUAUAUAUAUAUAUAUUUUUUUUGGUCUUUUUAGGGCUGCACCCACGGCAUAUGGAGGCUCCCAGGCUAGGGGUCAAAUCGGAGCUGUAGCCACUGGCCUCUGCCACAGCUCAUGGCAAUGCCAGAUUUUUAACCCACUGAGCAGGCCAGGGAUUGAACAUGCGUCCUCAUGGUUACUAGUCAGAUUUGUUUCCGCUUAGCCACGACAGGAACU